CAGGGAGACAACAAAAUGUUUAAUAUUAUUAUUUUGUCACCUUAGGUCGAUCGGUAUCUCACAUUUUUAAUUUAUUAAGAAUUUCAUUUCCUAAGUCUUUCUAGGUCACACCCAUCAUUUUUCCUGGGCCAUUAGCUCAGGUGGUUAGAGCGCACCCCUGAUAAGGGUGAGGUCCCUGGUUCAAGUCCAGGAUGGCCCAUAUCUCUAUGUUGGGGGUAUAGCUCAGUUGGUAGAGCGCCUGCUUUGCAAGCAGGAUGUCAGCGGUUCGAGUCCGCUUACCUCCACUGAUUACCACCUCUUCCAUAAUCUUUAGAAGGAAAUGUUUUGUGUUGUGAUCACAUUCUGAACGAAUCUAGCUUCCUAAUGAAAUCAUUAAGAUGCUGGACUCAUUGAAUUAAAUUCAUUGUUUUCAGAGAACCUUGACAACUGCAUAGAUUAUUUUUAAAGACAAUAAGCAUCUUUAAUGAUGCAGAUUUAUUAUUUGUGCGAAUGCAUUAAUAACAAUUCUAUUAAGCUGAUGCUUCAAUUUUGAAGUUAUU
RNAcentral lists this transfer RNA (539 nucleotides) under uncultured cyanobacterium. RNAcentral's name for it is "partial miscellaneous RNA". The stretch from base 212 to 284 matches the Rfam family "tRNA". Lineage: Bacteria; Bacillati; Cyanobacteriota. The record is from RNAcentral.